This 467-nucleotide ribosomal RNA is filed under the name uncultured bacterium. RNAcentral's name for it is "partial 16S ribosomal RNA". It matches the Rfam family "Bacterial small subunit ribosomal RNA", at positions 28 to 507 of the family's 1533-position model. The record is from RNAcentral.
GACGAACGCUGGCGGCGUGCUUAACACAUGCGAGUCGAACGGAAAGGCCUCUUUCGGGGGGUACUCGAGUGGCGAACGGGUGAGUAACACGUGAGUAACCUGCCCUUGACUUUGGGAUAACUUCAGGAAACUGGGGCUAAUACCGGAUAGGAGCUCCUGCUGCAUGGUGGGGGUUGGAAAGUUUCGGCGGUUGGGGAUGGACUCGCGGCUUAUCAGCUUGUUGGUGGGGUAGUGGCUUACCAAGGCUUUGACGGGUAGCCGGCCUGAGAGGGUGACCGGCCACAUUGGGACUGAGAUACGGCCCAGACUCCUACGGGAGGCAGCAGUGGGGAAGAUUGCACAAUGGGUGGAAGCCUGAUGCAGCAACGCCGUGUGCGGGAGGACGGCCUUCGGGUUGUAAACCGCUUUCGCUCAUGACGAAGCUUUGUGUGACGGUAGUGGGUAAAGAAGCACCGGCUAACUACGUG